Molecule: long non-coding RNA, 15475 nt
Organism: Cavia porcellus (domestic guinea pig)
Lineage: Eukaryota; Metazoa; Chordata; Mammalia; Rodentia; Caviidae
Exons: 3
Source: RefSeq, a predicted model, not a curated record
GGCCCUCUUCCUUCCCCCUCCUGGUGCCUGGUGCCUGCUAUUCCAGUUUUAUCUUUGGUCUUUUUGUGGACAGAUGUGUCAGGCUUUUUACUGGCGGUUCCUUUUGUGGUUAAGAAGAUCCACUGCUCCCUAAUUUACUCCUCAGCCCUGAGCUCUUACUUUUCCUUCUAAACUGGCUUCCUGCACGUUUCCUUUUUCAUAGCUGCAUGAGCUCUUCCUUCGUAGUACUUUGCACAGUUUGUAUCUGUACAGAGUCUUCACCUUUUGUUUUUUCCUACAAUACUGAGCAUUGGACCUUGGGCUUUACAAUGGGCUACAUCACCAGCCCUUUAAAAGCUUGUUUUUACAAUUUUGAGACAGGAUUAUUGCCCAGGCUGGGUGCAAACUCUCAGUCCCCCUGCCUCACACUUCCACAGUGUAAAGAGUACAGACGUGCACCACCACAGCCAGCUGUCACCACCUUUUUAUGCUGCUUUCUUCCAUUAGAUGCUGAGCCCUUGAGAGCUGAGGCCCUGAACAAAGCAACCACUCGACAGAUAUUCAUUGAAUAGGCGAAUGAAUGGAUGGGCACAAUCAAAUGAACCCUACCUCGAGGCACAAGGAAGAGCCUGGAGAGAAGGUGAGAGCUGAUCAUUGCACUGGGAGUACCGGCCCCCCAAUAUUUCCACGGAUUUUAACUUCACAGUCAUACGUGAGUGCGUUUUGAAGGACGAUUCACCAGAGGAAAAUGCUUCAUAUAGAUUCUGUGAGAGAAUUUUCACCAUGUCCAGGACUAGAGGGAAUCAGAGAGAUUUAAAGUAUUGUAAGGAUGAUUGAUCAUAGCUGUGCAUGUAAGGGGGGGCAGGACCCCUUGGUGAUGUGCCUCAGGGAUGCUAGAAGGAAAGGUGAGGUGCACAGCCCUGGUUAGUGUAGUUGGGCUAAAAUCUUGAUGGACAAUUCAGACGUUUUCUAGCUUCAGCCUUCUUGUCACUACCACUGGAACCUCCCUGGUGGCUUUAUGGGCAGGCUUACCUGUCCAUUCCUUUCACUGGAUGUUAUAAGUGAAUGAGGAGCAUUUACAUUGGUUGGUGGGUCUGAGGUUUCCCUUUUUCUGUUUUAAUUUUUACCCUUGCUCAUCUCAUGAUGGAAACCUCACAUGCAGGCCAUGGACCCACGGUCAGUACCCUGUGCUCUCGGUCACACAUUCUUCUGUACAUAGAUGCCAUGUUGUGCAGGACAUGUGGGCUUGCAAGCCAUGGCACUGGGGCUUAUAUAUUUUGCUUUGUGACCACAGGCCCCUCAUUUAGCAUCAGUUGGCCUCAGUUUAUCCACUUGGAAAAUAUGGCAACAGUAGCAUCUCCCCUAAAUGUUAUGAAACUUUAAUGAGCACAAGUAUACCAGAUAUUCAGAAUGGUUAUGUACAUCAUAGAGCUGUAAAAGUGAAUGCCAGAUAUCAUUACCACUUAUAUAUGUAAUUAAUAUCUAAAAAAGGCAAAACACAAUGAGUUUACUGAGUGUGAAAUGAGGAAAAACUUUACUUACACUGUUUUGUUUGUUUAUAAUAAAGUUUAGAAAGCUUUCCAUUGAAACGAAAACAAUUUUGUAACUUAAAACAGUUCUCUGCAGGAGGAUGAAGACAGCCCAGUCCUCCAAAUCAUGCGUAGGAUACUGGAGACAAGAGCUUUGCUGAUUAGUCUGCCUACAAUAGGGACCUCUGGGAAGGACUGGUGGCUCAAAAGCCAUCAUAUUCUUUCUUGGUGUAAGAAAACAAAAACACAUGCACACAAGUCCUCUCGACUGCUUGUGCAAAGUAACUCUUAAAUGGAUGUUCUUUCUCACUAGUGAAUAGCCCGAAACGUGGACUGGAGGCAGAAAGUGUGGUUUGGACUCCUUAUAGCUUUUCCAGGGAUGAGCAUAUCCCUCAUUUUAAUACUGAGGACACUGAGGGACAAUGAUGUGUCCCAGAUCAUGCAUCCACAUGUUGGGUCAUUAAUUUAUUCAUUGUGUUAAAUAAACCUGAGGACAAGGAGCUCAGGACCAGCUAGGCUGGGAGUGCCCAGCAAUAGUAAAGUUAUGUGCUGUCCGCCACAAGGCCCUAGAACCAGUCCAGCACCAAACCAUUACAGUACUGCACAGUGAUGGCUGACGGGCAGGGGUCACAGUGGGCUGGGACACUGGCAUUGCUAUUUUACAAACCCCAAAAGUGGAACAAAUUGAACUAAGUCUCAAAACAGGAGUAGUAUUUUUCCAGAUGACAAAAAGUGGCGAGUCUAGUCUUCUUGAUCAAAAUUGUAAUUAAGGAAGGGUGACCUAUGAUUAACUAAAAGAUAUACAUAUCUUAAUCUCAUGUAGUUUGAAUAAGCUUGAAUUUAAAAAUUUACUCCUUUUUCAUCUACAAUUUAAGUUUAUUAUUUAAAAACUUGAAAAUUUCAGGAUGAAGAAAAAUAACCAGCGCAUUCACCUACACAUUUCCCACCCCUUUUUCUCUGCAUUAAAAUAACAAGUACGUAUGAACCUGAGGCCAUAGACAUUCUCUUGCACCACUGCGUACGCACCUUUGCCAUCAGCUGCGAGGUUGGCCAAGUGUUAAAUCACGCAGUUUCUCCCCACUUCAUUUGGCUCAGGCUCCGUAUAUGGACAUUUAAGCCAUUGACUGAACAGCUCUGAAGCUACGCCAAGCUAAGCUGAAGAAUGUGACUGAGGUAGAGGCGACUGGGGACAAAUCAAGUAACAAAUAUUCAGUGAUCCAUCCCUUUCUUUCCUGUCAGAUAUUUGCCUUAGAUUCAGCUGCAAUUUUUGAAAGCUAAUGAAGCUUGGGUAUUUUGAAAAAAAAAAAAAAACAAAUAUGCAGAAGUAUUCUUCCGGAGCUUUGCACAGUAGUAAUGAGUUCUGUACAGUGGCUUCUAGGGGCAGGUGGAGAUGGGGAACAUUUACUUUAUCCCCCUGAGCGUAAGCCCAUGUGGGAGUAAACUCUGAAACGCAAUACAACCUUGAAGAAAUAUUUUCUCAGAAUUAAAUUACAAAGGUCUAAACCUAUGCCUGUAUAGUGUACUUUACAAAGCCCUCUGAGUGCUAACAGACAUGUAAGUACAGAAAAGUCCUGGCAGUGUGAUCUUGAAAUCAACAUAUCAUGAUUGCAAUUUUUCUCUUGUCCUCUUUUCUCCAUCCUUUCUUAGUUUUUGAGUGCCAGCUUUGUACUAGGUGCUUUUCAGGCACUCAGGGGGAUGUAAUAGAUGUAUGUCAACCUUACUUGUGAGGACCCUAUUCACAGUCCUGUGGGAUUGGAAGCUGUAGACACAUUUUCACUCGUGCAUGGGUGAAUGCACUGCACAUAGGCCUUAGAGAAGCUUACCUGUGUCUAGAGAGGGCAAAGAAACUCACAGAGCAGCUGAGGGUUGCAGUGGACUUCACUAGGAAAAUGAGGGAGGAAGGCUUGGACAAAUGCAUGGAAGGGGCUUCAUAAGUGCUUUAUGUAUAGGGAGACAUACUGUGUUCCUGAAGACUCAGAGAUACUGGAGAUGGAGCUCAGGGAGGGGAGAACGGGGCCUCAUACUGUCUGGUAGAGGACUUAGAUUUUUCUCCCAUACACAAUGAGGAGCUGCCAAAAAAUUCUUUAUGGAGGAAACAAUGAUUGGUUGUAGUGUUUCCUGUUCCUUGCAAUAAAGGUUACAUUACCCUGGAACAGUCUUUCCAAACCCACUUUGCUUUCCAUAUAGUUAACUUUCAUUCAUCCUUCAAGUCUCAGCUGGAAUAUCACAUCUUCCAAGGGUAUUUACUUACCUUUGCUGGGUAGGCAAAUUUGGAUACACUUCCUACACUCUCCCAGACUGUACAGAACCCUUAAUCCUUUACCAUGUGGCACUGUGACAAUUUGUAUAACUCAUGUGCUUUGUGGGAUGUGACUGUCUGCUUUGAUUUUUCCACCCCAGUUACUAGCACACAGCCUGUGCUGGGAAGAUGCUUGUUUGCUUUCAAGUCCCUUCGGCUUCUCUGCUCUGCACCCCAAAGCCCCACCUUUGGAUUGCUCUUCUUAGAAUCCCUUGCCAACUGGCUUCCUGAUAGUUUUGGCCAGUGGGAAACACCAUGGGAAGAACUAGUGGGAAAAGACAAGGAUAUUUCUUUCUCUCUCUCUCCUUUGAGCAGCAUCCCUGAUGGCGACCAUGUCCUCUCCAAGGUCUUAUCUUCUGUGCAUCCCUGUCUCCAAGGUUUUAGUUCCUGCCCAGUGGCCACUGCCUCUGGCUCUGACAACAUCACAUCCUUCUCGUGCCCCUUUAACUUUUGGGAUAAUAACCUCCUGCUCUUAUUUCUUGGUUGCUUUCUUUUCCCUUGCUUGGCUUGUCAGCUUUUCCUACACCAUUAGAACUAGCUCUCUGCAUUCAUUUCCCCAGCACAGGCCCCCUUUUGACUUCAACUUAUGUACACAGUUCUCAGUAGAACAGGAUGCUUGGUACAUGUGUGUGGGUCAAUGCACGAGGAAAAAGCUGAGCAAAAUGCAUAGCAAUGCAUACCUGUAAUUCCAGCUACUCAGAAGGCCGAGACAGGAGAAUCACAAGUUGGCAGGAGGAUCUAGAUAGACAGAUAGAGAGAGAGAUAGAUAGAUAGAUAGAUAGAUAGAUAGAUAGAUAGACAGACAGAUAGAUACAUAGAUACAUAGAUAGAUAGAGAAAGUGAAUGUGAUGGAUUGACAACUAUCGAUCAACUUGUAACACUCAGCUGAACUGAAUCAGCAUGCUACUGGGUGUGGAGAGCCCUCCUGAGGAUUGUUGCCAACCACAUAUAAAGGAGAAUUGGAGAAGAAGAAGUUGAUGCUACUAGUUCUGGAAGAGCUUGUCAUGCUGGCUUUCCAGAUAGAACUUGAAUGUUCUCAUCUCAUCAUUUGUGGAGCUCAGCACCUCAAUGUGGCUGAGGAUGAGUGUAGUACUUUUUGGGGAGCACUGGUCCUUAUUUGGAGCUUUGCUCUCAGGCUCCAGAAGGAAAGAUGGUGUGCUGUGCAGGCUCUAGCAGAAGCUUGUCCUGCUGGCUUCCUGAUAUGCAUUUGGUUGAGCUCAUCUUCAGAGGAGCUUGAGACUUUGUUGUCACUGAGGAUGGCUGUGGUACUUGUCUGGGGAGCUCUGGUCCUAACUUUGAGCAUCACUUCCUGGCUCCAGUGCAGAUCCUUUAGCCUACUGGCACAGACUUUCUAGCUUCUACUGCUGACUGUUGUGCCUUCCCAGCACAGAUCUGCACACUUGAGGCAUUAUUGUGAGCUCUAGGCCUCCAGUUGGACUCUUGGGGGGCAUUCUCAUGGGCUCUAGGUCUUCAGCUGAACUCAUGUAGGACAUUGCCAUAGGAUCAUACCCCCAGCUGAAUUCUGUGGGUCUUUAGUGUGUGGACAGAUUUCCUGAAAUUGUACAUUUUUGUAUUUGACUCUUUGUGUAACUAUUAUAAAAAUAAUUCUGGAUGGAAGCUAAGGCCAUGCCUGUAAGCUGGCCAGAGCACAGGCUGGGGAGAGAACAGCCCCUUUCUCUACCCUGUAAGCAACCAACUGAUUGGGAGGAACUGUAUUGUUUGAUAGAUUUUGCAAGCGUAAAGUCAAGCAACUGUCUAGAAGACACCAAUAUGCAACGUCCCAAGUGUUAUAGAUUCCCUACUGUCCUAACACUGUUUUCAUUUGUUUUAUUGAUGCUUUAUUCCCUUUAACAUAGAAUUUUUUUAAAAACUCUAUGAAUUAUGUGUCCUGCAUGAAGUUGUUUUCCUUGCAGAUCCUCACUGUAACAGUAUAGAUACACUUCAGUGGUGGAGCGCUCUUAAGUUCUAUCUCCAAUAUUGGGGCAAAUUUUUCAAUCCUAUCCUUUCCUCCUACCUGGAGCAGGUGGCCAAAAGAAGACUGCUUUCCAGGAGGGGCCACAGAUCAGUUUCUCCUUUGCUCAGCUCAUAUUUCCCCAGCUUGUUCAGAAGGUUGACAAGAUUAUUAGGAGGAAAGGCAGCCCUUCCUUUUGUGGGCAGGUGACUGAAGUGGACUCUCACUGUGGCGCAUCUGUGGGUUUUUCUGAGGCCCCUUCCCUGCCCCUCUGCCCACAGUUCGUGAGAUGCGGGCAGGGCCUUCUGUCCCUUUGGAUUUCUCCGCCUCAAGCCCUUGGUUUGAUGAUGGCCCAGGCUGCACCAAUCUUCAUCCUACACACACACACACACACACACACACACACACACACACACACCACUCUCAGGCAGGGCUGGCCACUGCUCCCACUUGGCUUUUCCACCUCUUUGUGGUCCUGGAAACAUACAUGCUUGCUCUGAGGAACAGUGGGAGUACUGCCCAAUUCCAGGACAGCCUGUUCCCUGGCCUUUGUGUCUUUGCGUGAAUCAGUAUUGUUCCUUCACGCCCCGCCCCACAGAGCAAGGUGAGCACAGCAGGCAGCCCCUGGGAGUGUGGGGACCUCAGUAAUGUCCUUCCUCAAGAUAUCACUGCAAAUCUUUCCCCUUUCAGAGAGACCCUUCCAUGGUCUCAGGAAGGGACAGUACUCAGGGUCACAGAACCCUUCCUCAGAGUUUCCUGUGACAGUUCUGCAGACUGUGGGCUCUCACGUUCUCCCAUUCCUGUGCUUCAGUAGAGGUGGAGACCGGGAAAGUGGCCAACAAGUCUGUCAUAGGGCUGGAGUGAAAACUGACCGAGGGAUCAGGUUAGAGAUUUUAACCCCCUCCCUGGCUCACUGGUGCACUCCCACCGCACCUGUUAUUUGGGUCGGAACCUGAAAACCUACCGGGGCCUGAAGACCCCAAGUGCUCAAGCAGUCUUUCCUCCAUCCGAUUUUCAGUCAUCAAUCAGCCUGCCAGUGAAGAUACUGACCAGGACUCAAUUCAGCAGAGUAAGAAAGUGCUAAGUGAAUACGUGGGGUGCAAACGUGGGCGUGUGUGUCUCGUUUUUCCAACUGCAUGGCAAGCAACCUCCGUCUACCCUGUUCUAGCCCAAACUGCUUCUCUUUCUGUCCUCACCUGCCCAGAAGGGUCAGGGUUUCAGCCAGGUGCGCCCACGAAGCGCGAGGCGAGCUGCCCAGAACUGCCGCACGGUGGCGCCGUUGGACGCCCCUCGGCCCCCACAAAGCAGCUUUUGUCCGCCUUGGGCACAGUCGCUGAAGCUUUGGGAGGGAAGAUGACCCCAUUCCCUCAGUGGUAACCUCAGCCAGGAGUGACUCCCACUGGAGCUCACGAGGCUGCACUCAGCUGAUUCUGCACCCGGUUUCCUUUCACAGCUGCUGUCCAGGUGCCAGCUGGUCCCUGGAGCCUCAGGGCAGCGCGGGCUGCUGGGAUUCUUUGUUUCAACUUCAGGCACAAUAGAGUCCUGUUAUCACCUCCCCUUCCUGGACCACGGGGCUAGCUGCUUGCCUUCCAUCUAGGCUUCUGAGAACGAGGGUCUGGGGACUCUCUGGGAGACUCGAGGACCAUCCCGUCCCUCCAUCCUUGCUAAUGACAAGAUGGCAGUCACAGAGAGUCCUGGGGAUGAAGCCACAACCCGCCCACGUUGAGGAGAAGCCAGGCAGUGAAGGGAGUCUGAGGCUUCCAGGAUGAGAUAAUAAAAUGGCAAUCUGGCUCAUCUCCACACACUUCAAGGAUUCCUGUGCAGUGGAGGAAGACGGACAACAAGGGAGGAACAGGAGGCCAAGUCACGGAAACCUCUGUGUGUCACGCUUCUUUUGCAAACCACUUGUUUCCUGCCUAACCGCUGAAGCUUGAGCGCAGAGCUGUCUAUCAGGAAGGCAAAGCUCUCGGGCCUGCUUCUGCGUUGGGGCCAGGCCGGGAGGGGUAAUGGGGAGCCUGAGUUGCUUGUUAGAUCUAAGCCAAAGCUCUUCUGAGGGCAAGGUCCUUGUAGCUGCAAACCCAUUUCAGAGCAUAGUGAAUCUCAGCAAAGACUAGACAGGGGGCUCAGGUCAGGGAGGCAGCCCACCUUCAUCUGUGUUGGGAUUCUGUAUUUAUUAUUAUUAUUAUUGUUGUUGUUGUUGUUGUUGUUGUUUAUUUCCCAGGGCUGCUGUACAAAGUACCACUGAGUACCACUAAGACAGGAAGUUCAAGAUAUCUGUAUGUUGGUUCUUUCUGAGGCCUAUGAGAGAGAUUUCUCCAUGCUCUAGCUCCACAAGAUACCUGUGGUAUCCUCUGGCUUUUAGAAACCCCACCUCCACGUCUGCCUUCAUUCUCAUUUGGUGUCUUCCUUAUGUGUCUGUCUCUGUGUCCAAAUCUACCCUGUUUAUAAUAACGCUUUUCACAUCGGAUGAGGGCCCACUGGAACUGAUUUCAUCUCAAAUGACCCUAUUUCCAAAUAAGGUCACAUUCUAAGGUACUAGCAGUUAGAUUUCAUUAUAUGUUUUUUAAGGGGUCACAGUGCAGCCCAUAGCACCAUAAUUCUGAUUUUAUUUUCCUCUGGUGACCAUCGACAGUACCUAUGGGGAAGAAGUCAGAGCAACUCAAGGAGGGCCAGGCAUACUCUUGGGGAGAACUAAGGGGUGGUCAGGAAGCGGGGAGACUGUGGGAGGGUUUGUGCUAGACAGCAGCCCAGCAUGUGGAUGUCUCAUAGAGCACCUGCAGACAUGCAGAGGGGACAGUGAGCAGUGCAGUGCUGGUUGUCCCCCACAUCUGUGCUCAGGACUGGCAGGGACACGAAGAGAAAGAAAGCUCCGGGCGGGCAGCUAUACCUCACAGCUGUACCACUGAGGAUCUGUGGAGAAGCAAUCCUUGGACUUCAGACAGAAACGGGGAGAGAACCGUAAUCAGGAGCCCAAGUUCUGGGGGACUUUGGGAUAGGAGAUAGGAAGAGAAGUGGGAUCCUGUGCAAAUGGGGUUCCUGAGAUGACUGGGCAAUCAUUCAGGCAGACAUCCAGGAUUAGCUAAGAUAGUUCAUCACUUCCUCUCUGAAACGCAAGAUUAAUUUAAUUAAAAAGCAUCAUUACAGUUGGUUUGUACAAAAAGUAAGUAGGGGACAUUUGCCUUACUAAAUAUUAAAUUUCAGACGAAACAAUUGUCAUAAAAAGGAUGUGUUCUAGGCCAGUGAUGAAUGGUCCACUGAAGCACGGUAUAAUUCAGGAAUAGACACGGUUUGUUUACAUACAUAAAAUCUGAAAAAAAUGACACUGCAACUCAGUGGGAAAGUUAUGCUUGAUUUAAAAAAAGAGAUAUUGACAUAAUUUGCUCUCCAUUUGGGAAAAACAAGGAGGUAAAUCACCUCUUACCAUAAACAAAAAUAAAUCCCAAAUGGGUUUGGGUUAAAGGUCUAACUAAAACUACAUAAUACAUAUAUAAAAUGUCUGAGGGGAGUCUAGUGGAAAGUUUGUAUAAUUUUGUUAUGGAGGGGAUAUUUUUAAUAGUGGAGGAAUUCUCAAAAAGCAUAAAGGAGGAAAAAACAGGAGACAUGUUUCCACAUAUUUCUUAAAAUUAUAAGGAAAAUACCAUGAACAAAAGACAAAGUAUAGGCUAAAAUAAAUAUUUGCAAAUAAUGAUAAUUUGAAUUUGACCUUUCCUAUGUGUAUUACUUGUAUUUCUUUCCUGAUUAUUUUGGCUAAUAUUUCGAGCACAAUGUUGGGCAGACACCGUGAUAUCAGACAUCUUUAUCUUAUUUCUGAUUUUAGAGAGAAAGUUUUCAGCCUUUUCUCAUUUAAUAAAAUAUUAGCAGAAGGUUGUCAUAAAUGGAUUUUAUCAGGUUGAGUUAAAGUGCAUCUAUAAUUAUUUUUAGUUUUUUUAAAACUAAUGAAUAGAUGUUGGAUUUGCAGAAACACAGUCCUCUACUUAGAAAACACAAAAAUUCUAUCAAAAUAUUCCUGAAAUUAAUAACCCAAUUCAGUAGUAUAGCAGAAUACAUAAUCAGCAUACCCAAAAUCAAUAGCUUUCUGUACACCAAUAAUGAACUCACUGAGAAAAGAAAUGAGACAAUACUAUUCCCGAUAGUAUUGAGUAAAUUAAAGGCUUAUGAACUAAUCUAAUUAAUGAAUUGAAAGACCUUUACAAUGAAAAUUACAGUUCUCUGAAAAAGAUUAAAGAAAAUUUUGGAAAACAGAAAGUUAUCCCAUCCCUAGGUAAGCAAAAUGACUAUAGUCAAAAUGGCCAUAUUUCCAAAACCAACACACAUGUUCAAUGGAAUCCCAAUCAAAAUCCCAGCGGCAUUUCUCACAGAACUGGAGGAAACAAUCCUAAAAUUCAUGUGGAACAAGGAGAACCCCACUGCAGCAAAAGCAAUCCUGAUCAACAAGAAUGAAGCAGAAGUCUUCAUAAUCUCAGACUUCAAGUAAUAUUACAGAGCCAUAGUGAUACAAACAGCAUGGUACUAGCACAAAAAUAAGCAUAUGGAUCAGUGGAACAAAAUAGAGAAUGCAGAAAUGAUCACAGACGUAAUAAGCUGUCUGAUCUUUGACAAAGGGGUCAGAAAUAUACACUAGAGAAAGCAUAGCCUAUUUAAUAAAUGGUGCUGGGAAAACAGGCUAUCCACACACAGAAGAUUGAAUCCAGAUCCAUAUAUCUCACUAUAUAUUAAGCUAAAAUAAAAAUGGAUCAAAGACCUUAAUGUUGAAACAGAAACAAUCUACUGGCAGAUAAAGUGGGUAACAUUCUUGAAGGUGUAAAGUUAUGUCUUCAGAACCCCAGUGAUAAGAAAUAGCUCAUAGAACCAAUCAGUGGAGUCAUAUCAAAUACAAAAUCUUCUACACAGCAAAGAAAACUAACACAGUGAAGAGACAACCUACAGAAUGGGGAAAAAUUGCCAGCUCAUCGUUGGACAGAGGACUGAUAUCUAAAAUACAGGAAGAGUUAAAAAGAUUACCCCUCAAUAAAAGACCUCCAUCAAAAAAUAGGCAACUGGAAAGAAUAGACACCUUUGUAUUCUUCUCAGAAGGAUACAAAUCAUCAGAAAAUACACAGAAAAAUGUCAGACAUCUCUGGCUAUUAGAGAAAGGCAAGUCAGGAAAACAUUCAGAUUUCAUCCUACUUCAGAAAGACUCUCUAUCAUCAAGAAAUCAAAUAAUGCAAAAUGCUGGUGAGAAUGCAGGGCAAGGGAAUACUUUUAUAUUGUUGGUGGAAAUGUGAACUAGUGCGACCAUUAUGGAAUUCAGCAUAGAGAUUCUCAAAACGACUACUAAAAGUAGAAAUUUCCUUUGGCCCAGAUAUUUUUGUACCUUUCCCAAAGAGUUAAAGACUUCUUACUAUAGUGGUAUAUGCAUUACCAUGUUUAUAGCAGCACAAUUCAUAACAUAAAUCUUGUAAGUGGCCUAUAUUUCCAUCAACAGUUGAAUAGAUAGUGAAAAUGUGGUAUUAAUACACAGUGGAAUACUACUAGACCAUAAACAUGAUUAAACUUGAGUCGUCUGUAAGAAAAUGGAUAUCCCUUGAGAUCAAAAUGUUAAGUGAAAUAAAUCAGACACAAAAACUUAAAAUGUCAAAUUUCACGAGAAACCAAAACUAUAAAUAAAAAGCAUAAUAAAAGAAAGAUAAUAGGAAAUAGGGUGAUAGAUCUUUUGCAAAUGGGAAAGGAACCAAGAGAUAUAACAAGGGGGAAAAUUAAGAUGUGUUAUGUACAUGUACCAAUUCUCCACAAAGAAUGCAUUCAUUGUAUACUGCAUCAUGUACUAAUAGAAAAAUGGGGAAAAGCAAAUAAUUCUUGCAAAAAUUAAAUACAAAUAUUUGCAGCACCUACAAGGGAUGUUAUCCUUAAUACAGAAAAUGCUCAUAUAAAUUGGUAGCAAUGGCAAAGAAUAGAGACAUAAGAAAAUAUACAGUCAAUUCACAGAGGAGGAAAGGAAGAUUUAAGUAGAAAGCAGAUUUGCCAGAGACAGUAAGAUUUAAUUCUUUAUUCACCAAAUUUGCAAAAACUAAAAAGAUCCAUUCACAAAGAUCAUGGAUCAGACUGAGCGCAGAAGAAUGAAUGAAUACUAAACCUUGCUGGUGGACGUGAGAACUGUAUAUCCUCCUGGGAGGAAUAAUCUAUCAAUGUCUCUUACAAUUCAAAAUCCAUGCUCAUUAGCUCAGCAACUGCAUUUUGGGCAGUCAUUUCAGUGAGUACAAAAGCCUCACGCUUGGCAGUAUAUUCAUGAGAGUGUUUGGAGAAGCGUUGUUUGUUGUGACAAAACCUUAGGCAACACAGGCUUAUCUAUUAACAAUCAAAAGGUUCAAGAAACACAGCCUCCACACUGUGGGAUGUGACAGCACCAGCCCUAGCAAAAACAAACAAGUUAGCUAUCAAGACGUUCACAUGGAGAUGCUAAUAUAUUAAGUAAAAAAAAUUUUUUUUUUUGUCUUUUUGAGACAGAGUCUCAUUAAUACAGGUCAGGCUGGAUUUGAGUUCACUUUGUAGCUCAGGCUGGUCUCGAACUUGCAGUGAUCCUCCUGCCUCAGUCUCCCAACUGUUGGGAUUACAGGCAUGCACCACCAUGCCUGGCAUUAAGUAUAAAUAUUAAGUACAAAAACCAAGUUAUGGAAAAAUAUGUAUGCUGUUGAUUUUUGUAAAUAAGUAGAACAACCAAAAAAGUUUAGUUCAACAGUAUGAAUUGCUUCAAGAUGCAGAAGUGAGAGGCAGUGAUUUCUAGCUUCUUCCAUGUAUAUUUGUUGUUUUGCUUAUCAUAACAAUUUUUAAAACAGAAGGCAAUUGGAUAAAGGCAACAUUAAUAGGGGAAAAAAUGACAAAGUAACUACACCAUGCCUGGGGACUCACUAAGCCCUCCAAAUAAACUCCACUCACUGGGUGACUUUCCAUGUGGUGUAUGUGAGGAUCGAUAGCUGCUUUGUUCUCCAGCUCGCAGGACCAGGAGGUUCUUGACACCAGGCUGCCCUGCCCAGUCACCUUGACCUCAGUUCCCAUGGGCAUCUCCAGGGCUGAGCAAACCAGCCUGGCCCCCCAGCUCUUCCCACAGCAUCCUGUCCCUGUCUCCCUGAGAGGCACCAGUAGCCUCCUCUAUAACCAGAGUUUUCUCUAGUUAUAGCCUCCAAGGAACCCUAAAUUCCAAGAGGCAGGCAUAGUGGUUCUUAUUAUGUCCCCAGCGCCUUGUCUGGCUCAUUGUAGGUGCUAAAUACAAUAAACAUUUGUUACAUGAAUAAACAAGAAGUAAAGGACUGAAUGCCAAACAUUAGUGAUACAAAGAAAACAUCAUCUGUGCCCUCGAAAUGGGGCGGUGGAGAGGCAGGCAUGUCAACAGCCCAGUUAUAACACAAACACAUAAUUAAUGUUGCGAGACAGUAGGAACUUAAGCUGCUCAAAACUGCCUGGGGAAAGUCUGGAAGGGUUCACAAGAGAGGAAGCUUUUAAUCAAAGUCAUGAAGAAUGAAUAGACAUUCACCAGCAAAAGAAAGGCACGGAGUGAUGUUUCCAAAACACAGGCUGCCUCUGCAAGGGCACAGUAGCAUGAAAGAGUGUGACACACUCUGCAAACCUCAAGAGAGUUAGCACUUCUGGAGCAUGAAGUUCAAGGUUAGGGAAAGGAGUAUACAAAAGAUAGUCAGGGGAGGUAACCAGGGGUGGUUACUCUGAAACCAAAUCAUUUGCAAAAGUCCUGCAGGGAGUUGCCUGGGGGUGCGGUGGGGGCUUGUAUGGAAGAGGGACGCUGAGGUAACUUUUGAGCAGCCUUGUGCCAUGAGGGAUUUGCAUGGGAACAGGAGAUGACAUCAGAUAGAAGAGAGUGGGCAGGAGCGUUAAAGAAAGAGGGUUACUAGCAUCUGCUGUUGAAGAACCAGGGCAGAGACGGUGUGGCCAGUGGAGAAGAGAUGGGUGACGCACAAGGAGGUCAGGUUGCUGUGGGGGUGCUGUAUGUCCUGGGGGAGGAGGAGAGGGGUGGUCAGAAUGGCCCUACAAUUUCCAGUUGGCUGACUUGUUUCAUUACAGUAACAACAACAAAAAAAAUACUGAAAGGGAAGUUAGUAUGAGAAAAAUGAAAACAGUGAACUUGGUUUGGACUCUGCUGAAUAUAAUCACUUUCUACAGCUACCAGAACAAAAUUCACAAACUGAAUGCUUUAAAACAAGAAAAAAUUUAUUUUCCCAUGGUUUUGGUGGCCAGGAAUCAAGAUGCUACCAGAGCCAUACUUGGUGUGUACCCUAGAGGGGAGAGUCCACCCCUUUCUGUUUGCCUCUUCCUAGUUGUUGUUGGUGGGUAAAAUAUUUGGGGGAUUCCUUGACUUGCAGCUGUGUCUUGCCAGCCUCUCUCCACUGUCACAUGUGCUCCCCUCGAUGUCUAUCUUUAUGUGGCACUGGUUUUCCUCUUCUUAUAGGACAGUCAUAGUAGAUCACAGCUCACCCUAAGGGUUCUUAACUACCUCUGCAAAAAUCUGAUUUUCAAAGAAGAUUAGCUUCACAGGUAUUAGAGGUUAAACUUCAACAACUUUUUAAAAGGCAGACAUAACUCUUAACUGAAGUUUUCAUCUGAAAGGCCCUGGGCCCUUGGGUAGAGAUGAGCAGAAGGCUCUGGAACAGGUAGGCUAAGCCUCAGGGCAGAGAUCUUGGCUGCUUCCCCUUAUUAGGACCUGCAGACAGAGACACAGCAAGAAGGUGAGUAGUCCAAGAGGAGAAGCCUUGCGGAAGAGGCAGAGCGUGUGUGUCCACGAGGGACCUGCACACACAGCCACAGCCAAGCUGCCUGCAUCCUUCCUUUCCUGAGAGCUCACCUCCACCAAAGUGCCCAGGCUUUGGUAGUUUGCUACCUGAUUCUUUCACGUCUGAAUUCCUCCCCUUCUAUUCCACACUGCUUUUCUUUCUUAUGCAGGAAGCAGUGGAGCCCUAUGGGCAUCUCCUGAAGGAGUCAGCAGGGUUAUUAUUACAAGACGUCAUCACUGGGGCAGCCGCCUGCCUGAACUCAGCGCUACAGUACUGCAUUGAAAAGCAAACAAGGCCCGCUUGUUUGUGUUUUGAGUUUCUCCAGACGCAAGCUGGCAGUUUUGUAAUAACACUGAGAAACAGCACUUCAGUGCAUCAGCAAAAUACCCCGUAUGGCCACUCCAGUGUUAUCCACAGUGGACACAGUUUCUCCUAAAUUGCACCCCGAAAGAUGCUACCCGGCUUGCUUUCAGGUGUCAGAGAAAGGUGCUGAUGCUAAAAAGUGGGGCUAAAGGUACAGGCAGCUGGGUGUAGGUCAGCCAAAGGCCCCUGUGUCCUUGAAAGGUGUGCCUUUUAAAGUAGGAUAGAAUGGUGGAAUAGACUGUCCGUGAGAGCGAAUGCUUAGCUGCCUUGUUCACACAUGUAGCUCCCACAUCCAGUAGAAUCAUAGUAGACACAAGACAAAUCUCCCCAAGGUAUACAUCGCCUAGGAUAUGAGACAUUCAUCGAUAGUGGAGCCAUCAAAAAUGGAAAGGCAUCAUGAUGCGCUGCUUACAGUAAUGCAGCCUCCUUUCCCUGUGAGCUUGUGGUCUGUGGCCAGACUUACUGUGAACGGCAGUCCUGAGCCUUUUCUUGCUGUAGCAAGAUCCAUCCUCUGAACCUCUGGAAAACCCUGGAAAAACAAUGGCCAGAUUGACCAUUGCAUUAUGACUUAAUAAACAUUGUGGCUAAUGUUUAUCAA